UGUAAGAGCUACGCCGCGACCCACCUGAAAUCCGCCAGCGACCCACUAGUGGGUCGCGACCCACUGGUUGGGAAACACUGGCCUACAGAACUGAAUUAGUCCAUAGCAGUUAUCAGUUUGCAAGUAGCAAGGGCUUUCUUGAGAAGCUUAUACAUGUAACUUGUAGUGUUGUAAAUUGUGGGAGUAGGGCAGACAGGGAAAAGUCUUAUUUUGUACUGUUCCCAAGGCUCCCCAUGCAAUACAUUUAAAUUAAUUAUCCAAACAAAGCCGGGGACAAUGGAUAAAAGCCACAAGAAGAACAGAUAUAAGGGAAUUAAAAUUAAAAUAUGAAAAGUAAACAUUUUAUAAGUGGAACAACCACCAGAUAUUUAAAAGGUAUAAAAAGAAGAAACUGCUGGAACUUCAAAACAAAUGUGUUUGACUAGUAAAGAUUUGGAUAAAUAACAGGAGUUACUUUGGGCUAUAGCUACGUGCAGAUUUAUUUCCUUGUGGCUUCCUAUGUUAAUUCUUAUUAAUUAUACACUUAAAUAUGUUUUUAGUCUCAGGAAGAUUUUAUAUUUGAUUAUUUUUGAAUAAACAUUAUUAUUAUUA
Long non-coding RNA from Diabrotica virgifera virgifera (western corn rootworm), 591 nucleotides. RefSeq lists it as uncharacterized. The transcript is spliced from 2 exons. The record is from RefSeq and is a predicted model, not a curated record. Lineage: Eukaryota; Metazoa; Arthropoda; Insecta; Coleoptera; Chrysomelidae.